GGGAGGUGGUCCCCAGGAAGCCAGAGCCAGACACGGAUGGCGGAAAAGCUGAGGAGAAGCUGCUUUGUCCAUGGCUGAGUACUGGGACAUUUGUCUUCUCCUGCUUUUAGACUGGAAUGACCCCAUCGGCUCUCCUGGGUCUCCAGCCUCCAGAUGCAGAUGGUGGAACUUCCCAGCCUCCGUAAGCACGGACCCACCGGCGUGAAAAGCGCUUCGCGUUGGAUGUCUCAAGAUGCGCCCCUCGCUGCCGUGCUGGAGGUCCGUCUUGUGAUCACAAGAUCACGGGUGAAAAAACAGAGACCGAGAAAGAUUCAAAUGGCUUGUUGAGGGGACAGAGCUAGAAUCUAAGCCUAGGAGCUUCUCACUCAGGAGCGAGGCGGUCUCAGCCACCAGGCUAUGCUGGCAGUAGAGACGUGUUCUCAACCUCUGCUGUGGCGUUCUCAAAGGAUCGUGAAUGGAAAGGAAGAGAAAGACAAGACGUGUAUACUAUGCCCCAGAGGAGCUCUGUCCUUCCCUUGGCUUGUCUUUCUCUCUCCCAUCAGGUGGACAGCAACCAGAGAGGCUCUAUGUGUAAACAGCUCCUCCGGGACUGCCCCAGCUACCCAGUCCAACAAAUCAGAAAUAUGGCAUUAGGAUAACUUCACCUGUCUCUCACCUUUCAUAUCAGUUGACGAAUCCCAUUAUCUGAAUACCUUUCGCUUCUUUUGCCUGUGACCCAGCUCCUCUGCAGCAUCCUACUCAGGAUGGCUUAAUUGAGAAGUCUAUGAAUUAUUUCUAGCUUCAGGCAUGGCUGUAUCCAGGAGCUCACACUGUGUCUUGAGCCUGGGAUUCAGUUACAGCCUCUUAACUAGCCACACAUCCUCCUAUCUCUUGCGCUCCUCCAACUUCACCACCUUCCCAUCCCCACUGGUUUACAUGCCGAUGCCUGAGAUGUCUUUCUAAAGUGAAAGUCUGGUCACUAUUCCUGUGCCAAAAGCUUUUGAUGGCAGGAUAAUAGCUUAACUUCCUGCCUUGACACAAUCUGCCAUCUGCCCAGCUCCCCAAUCUCACCUCCCA
Molecule: long non-coding RNA, 1056 nt
Filed under: Equus caballus (horse)
Lineage: Eukaryota; Metazoa; Chordata; Mammalia; Perissodactyla; Equidae
Description: lncRNA (ENSECAG00000049316.1)
Source: RNAcentral